RNAcentral lists this ribosomal RNA (253 nucleotides) under uncultured bacterium. RNAcentral describes it as "partial 16S ribosomal RNA". It matches the Rfam family "Bacterial small subunit ribosomal RNA", at positions 524 to 776 of the family's 1533-position model. The record is from RNAcentral.
UACAGAGGGUGCAAGCGUUAAUCGGAAUUACUGGGCGUAAAGCGUGCGCAGGCGGUUUUGUAAGACAGCUGUGAAAUCCCCGGGCUCAACCUGGGAACUGCGGUUGUGACUGCAAGACUGGAGUACGGCAGAGGGGGGUGGAAUUCCACGUGUAGCAGUGAAAUGCGUAGAGAUGUGGAGGAACACCGAUGGCGAAGGCAGCCCCCUGGGCUAGUACUGACGCUCAUGCACGAAAGCGUGGGGAGCAAACAGG